This 3980-nucleotide long non-coding RNA is filed under the name Olea europaea subsp. europaea. The record is from RNAcentral. Lineage: Eukaryota; Viridiplantae; Streptophyta; Magnoliopsida; Lamiales; Oleaceae.
UCCACGUGAAAAAUUUAUACAAUCAAACACAAUAAUUUACAAUUUUCAUGAAAACAAUUUCUAGGUAAUUCAAUUCCCUGGAAUUCAUUUUCUUUCCACCUAAAUUUUAUCUUCGCAAUCAAACAGACCCUUGUGGUUUUAGAGUAUAUUCUUCUCAGUUUCACCCGUCUUUUAAAUCCAAAAAUAGAAAUGGCAGUUUUCUUGCUCUUUACUACCACAUUCAAUCACUCACACACUUACACUACUUUCAAUUUCUUCACCUCACUGCAAAAUUUCUGUGGGGAUUCAUUCUCCAAUUUAAAGGCUAAAGGAAGAAUUCACAGAAUAUGUUGUAGGAAGGUUCGAGUUGUGUCGUCGCAUUCCAAUCCCAAAAUUCUGAAGCGCAAUCGUAAAUCCAGGUAUGGACAGCCAUUGUCUCCUUAUGACAGUGAAGAAGAAAAAGAAGUUGAUGAUGACGACAGUGGUGGUGACGAUUGGAUUUCUGAUGUGAGUUUCUUUCUCUUCUCUUCUCUUCUCUUUUUUUUUUAUUUUUUUUUUUAAAUUUUGAUUUAUUAUUUUUUGUUUCUAAUGAUAUUUAUGCUACUUUAAGGUCUGAAGAAAGAAAUAAAAUGGGUUUCUACAAGAGAUUUUAUUUGUUAUCCUGCAGGCUAAUAAGCAUUUUCGGCUCAGAUGUUCGAUUAUUGUAAAAAGAAAAAUGGACAAAUGCAGAAUUGGAAGUCUAAAAUAGCAAUCUUUACUUGAUAGUGUGCACUCAUCAAAUCACAAAUUGAAGAAAUUGAAGAGGAUAUUCAAUGCUCUGCUGUCAGUUAAUGUAAAUUAUAUAUAUGUGGUUUGAAAUAUGAACUUGCUUGCAAAUAGGACAACUGUGGAAUGUCUUUUAAAUUAAGUGAUUAUUGGAUUAACUUUGGCAUGUAGUGCAGGGAAGUGUAAUUUAUUUAUAUAUAUUGGUCUGGGACACAGUUUUGAAAAUUGUCUAUGUUAAAUCCACUCGUAAAUUUUAGGGAAUAGAGAGCUCUAUUAGUUUAUGCAAAAUUUAUGGCGUCAUUGAUGUUCUGCAAAACUUGACAUUAUAGGGUCUUGUAUAUCAAUCCUUUAAAAAGGAUGUUUUGUGGCCUCCAAACUACUGGUGCCAUAGUAAUUUUGUCAAUGGAAAUAUGCUGUAGUUACAUGUCAGUCAGUCACUGAUGCAAGGAUAAUAAAUCCACAAUGAAAUUCAACUUGAUAUAAUUUAUUUGUUUGCCACUUUCUGAUGGUCAUUUUUUUUGGGUUGGGAUACAGGAAGAGUUUGCAGACAACAAAAUUUCUGAAGCUGAUAGACAAAAGUUAAAGAUGCAGAAUUCGACCAAGAUGAAACAAGGUAUUUGUAAUUUUUUGAAUAGUAUCAAAGAGUUGAAGGAGUCAAGGAAUGUAAAGUCGUGGUUCACAGUCCAUCCUUUAUUACUAGAAGAAGGGGCUUGGAUGUAAAGUUAUGUUGGCAAUGUGGUCCUAUUCAACUGAACCAUGUGGAAUUCUCAUGCAUUCACCAUUAACUAGGUUUUUUGGGGGGUAGUUGACACAGACUCAUUUUCUCUUGAUCUUCUUUUCUCGCAAUAUUGUCUGAUUAGGUUUUUCAGUCUUCUUUGAAGUUACCGUUGAUAUCUCGUUUCUUAGAGAUUUUCUGGUCUAUGUUGUUUGGUCUAACUGAUGACUUAAUGGCUUAGUCCCUAGUGUUUGGACGGAAUGAGUGCUGUAUAUUCUUGAGAGGUUUGAGAGGGUUACUAUGUUGUAUCAUUGUGAAUAUUUGUUAACUUCGUGACCAUUUCUGGUGUUCUGUGUUAUGAUUUCUGCAGUGCUUGUGAAAAUUUACCGAUUUCGUGGUGCUUGGAUUCUAUACAGUAGGAUUAAUCGAUUUAAGGUAAAGCUCAUUGUGCAGGCAGUCGCAGGCAUCUGGAGAGAGGUGGAGGUGCAAGCUCUUUAAAUUCUGGACGAAACCUUGAAACAAGGCAACACAAGUUGGGUAUAAAGAAUGGCAAAGACAUCCUAAAAAAGAGAGAGAGUAGCAUUUCGUAUAACACUUCCAGGCAAUCAGCAAGCAUUUCUUCUUUAGGUGAUAGCAGAGAAAAGGUAUCAAUCAUCACAACUGUCAGAUGUAACUUUUGAGUGGUAAUGACCACCACAAUGUUUGUUGUUUUAUCUGAUUGUGUUGGAUGAAUUGGUUUUACCAAUUAUUUUAUUUGGUACCAUUAGUUGGACAAAAGUUCUCUUUGGCCUAGUGUAUUCUACUCCAAGAGUGGAUUAAUGAUAUGUAUUUAUUAUUGCAAAACCAAUUAAGGGUGAAUGAGAAAUUACUGCCGAAAGAUGAACACUUGAAGUUGAAAUAAAGUGGGAAUGAAAAUUGGUGGGAAAUUGGAGAAUCCCAACCUACAUGCUAGUAGCUUGAGCCAAAACCCACAUGCGCUCUGUCGGUCGACAUGGCACCGAAAUUUUGCCCAAUUGUUUAGUCACUAUAAAAGAUCAUUUUGAAUAUAAAUUAUUGCAUCAGGUAACUAUAAUCACAACUGUUAAAUAUGAUUUUGUGUAGUAAUGACCGCCAUAAUGUUUAUUGUUUUAUCUGAUUGCACCAGGAAGCAGAAAGUUCUUCUAAGAAAAGAUUCACUCAUUUGUCAGAAGAACUAGACUUAGACGAUAGGUGGUUACCGCUUCUGGAUCAUUUGAGCACUUUUGGUCUUAAGGAAUCACAUUUUAUUCAAAUGUAUGAAAGGCAUAUGCCAUCCCUUCAGAUAAAUGUUGACUCUGCUGAGGAAAGAUUGGGAUAUUUGUUAAGUGUUGGCGUCAAACACAGAGAUAUCAGAAAAAUAAUUUUGAGACAGCCUCAAAUUUUGGGGUACACCAUCGAAAACAAUCUGAAGUCUCAUGUUGCCUUUUUGGGAAGAUUGGGCAUUCCAGAAUCGAGAAUAGGGCAAAUAAUUACUGCCACCCCAUCCAUGUUCUCUUACAGUAUUGAUAAUUCUUUAAAACCUACAGUCAAGUACCUUCUUGAGGAGAUAGGAAUCGAGAAGCAUGAUCUGAGUAAAGUUGUGCAGUUAAGCCCUCAAAUUCUGGUUCAGCGGAUAGACAAUACAUGGACUGCUCGUUUCAAUUUUCUGACAAAAGAAUUGGGAGCACCCAGAGAGAGUAUAGUAAAGAUGGUCACUAAACACCCUCAAAUACUACACUACAGCAUUGAAGAUGGAUUACGCCCCAGGAUCAAUUUCUUAAGAGGCAUUGGGAUGUGCAUCUCUGAUAUACUGAAAGUAUUAACUAGCCUUACACAGGUCAGCUGGAUUCUCUUGUGCAAUUGAUUUUGUACCUCAAACUACAAGCUCGACCAACUUGUCCUCAAAAUUGAAUCCAUGCCUUUUACCUUUUCAUACAGAUCUUGUUUUGCUUAACAUCACAAUCAAAUUAAAUUUUCAGAUGAUGCCAUCUGUGCUUGCAGGUAUUCUCUCUGUCAUUGGAGGGAAAUCUGAAACCUAAAUACAUGUACUUGAUCAAUGAACUUAAAAAUGAGGUCCAUUCCCUGACCAAAUAUCCGACAUACCUAAGCUUGUCUCUUGACCAGCGAAUUCGUCCUCGCCAUAGGUUUUUGGUUUCCUUGAAGAAAGCUCCGAAAGGGCCAUUUCCUUUGAGCUCACUGGUUCCAACUGAUGAAAACUUUUGCCACCAGUGGGCAGGAACUAGCUUAGACAAAUAUCUGGAUUUCCGGGAGAGAUUGCUGCUCAAAGAGUUUGCAAAGAAGUACGAAAGACAAUGAUUAGUUCCAUUCUCAUUCCUAGUCUACUUGGUAAUAGAUCACACACAUUACAGCAAAUUGAGAUGCAUAUACUCUUUUCCUGGGAACACUUGAAUAUUAAGGUGAGUCAGAUGUUCAUGAUAAUUGACACAUACAUUUAUAUCGAAGAAACAUGUAUAAUGUUAAUUUCUGUUUUAUAUCUGUGCUAGCUGUUUCUAAAUUUUGCUAU